CUGCCCUUACUGCCAAACAACUGCAAGUCUUAUAACAUCUUACUGACUACAAUAUCAACACCAGUUGCCUGAUGAUAGUGUCAUAUAUGUUGAAUUCACUGUACAGUGUUACCAUACCAUGGCCAGUCCAAAAAAUUUUUGACUGUACUUGUGUGUACGUAUAUGUGGAAAUCAUUGCCUCUGCAAAUCAGGUUGACAUAUUUCAAACUUACUCGUGCAUAUACAGCUCCCCAACCAACUUAUGUAAAUUGAUUUUAUGCAAAAUAUUUUCCAUAACUUUUUUUUCCAGAUAUAGAGCAUAAUAUCUAUUGUAUUUGUAGAUUACAAGUGUGAAUAUGU
RNAcentral lists this long non-coding RNA (339 nucleotides) under Androctonus crassicauda. The record is from RNAcentral. Lineage: Eukaryota; Metazoa; Arthropoda; Arachnida; Scorpiones; Buthidae.